UUUAUGGAGAGUUUGAUCCUGGCUCAGGAUGAACGCUGGCGGCGUGCCUAAUACAUGCAAGUCGAGCGAACGGACGAGAAGCUUGCUUCUCUGAUGUUAGCGGCGGACGGGUGAGUAACACGUGGAUAACCUACCUAUAAGACUGGGAUAACUUCGGGAAACCGGAGCUAAUACCGGAUAAUAUUUUGAACCGCAUGGUUCAAAAGUGAAAGACGGUCUUGCUGUCACUUAUAGAUGGAUCCGCGCUGCAUUAGCUAGUUGGUAAGGUAACGGCUUACCAAGGCAACGAUGCAUAGCCGACCUGAGAGGGUGAUCGGCCACACUGGAACUGAGACACGGUCCAGACUCCUACGGGAGGCAGCAGUAGGGAAUCUUCCGCAAUGGGCGAAAGCCUGACGGAGCAACGCCGCGUGAGUGAUGAAGGUCUUCGGAUCGUAAAACUCUGUUAUUAGGGAAGAACAUAUGUGUAAGUAACUGUGCACAUCUUGACGGUACCUAAUCAGAAAGCCACGGCUAACUACGUGCCAGCAGCCGCGGUAAUACGUAGGUGGCAAGCGUUAUCCGGAAUUAUUGGGCGUAAAGCGCGCGUAGGCGGUUUUUUAAGUCUGAUGUGAAAGCCCACGGCUCAACCGUGGAGGGUCAUUGGAAACUGGAAAACUUGAGUGCAGAAGAGGAAAGUGGAAUUCCAUGUGUAGCGGUGAAAUGCGCAGAGAUAUGGAGGAACACCAGUGGCGAAGGCGACUUUCUGGUCUGUAA
Molecule: ribosomal RNA, 756 nt
Filed under: Staphylococcus aureus
Lineage: Bacteria; Bacillati; Bacillota; Bacilli; Caryophanales; Staphylococcaceae
Description: bacterial SSU rRNA
Rfam family: Bacterial small subunit ribosomal RNA
Source: RNAcentral